Molecule: ribosomal RNA, 270 nt
Filed under: uncultured bacterium
Lineage: Bacteria
Description: partial 16S ribosomal RNA
Rfam family: Bacterial small subunit ribosomal RNA
Source: RNAcentral
UUUGAUGGCGACCGGCGCACGGGUGAGUAACACGUAUCCAACCUGCCGAUGACUCGGGGAUAGCCUUUCGAAAGAAAGAUUAAUACCCGAUGGCAUAGUUCUUCCGCAUGGUGGAACUAUUAAAGAUUUUCGGUCAUCGAUGGGGAUGCGUUCCAUUAGGUUGUUGGCGGGGUAACGGCCCACCAAGCCUUCGAUGGAUAGGGGUUCUGAGAGGAAGGUCCCCCACAUUGGAACUGAGGCACGGUCCAAACUCCUACGGGAGGCAGCAUG